Crotalus tigris (Tiger rattlesnake) is the source of this 983-nucleotide long non-coding RNA. RefSeq lists it as uncharacterized. The record is from RefSeq and is a predicted model, not a curated record. The transcript has 7 exons. Lineage: Eukaryota; Metazoa; Chordata; Lepidosauria; Squamata; Viperidae.
UUUAAGCUGCUAUUUUUACCUUCCCAAGGUUUUGAUGAAAGCUUGCCCAAACCUAUGCUGUCCAAUUUGUUGGAAAUUUUGGGAACUGUACUACAAAUACUUAUUGUGGCAAAAUUCUGGUUUGCUUAUGAGCUACUCAACCUCAUCCUGCAUCGGCAUCUGCUUAUUGGUCAAUGGCCAAGGAAUGAAAUGGACACCAUCCUCUUUGUCAUGGGAAAGUGGCUGCUAAGAAGAUGGCUGUAAUAGAUGACUCUUCCAGUGAGAGGAAGGAAAAAAAGAUCCCUGGGUUCACAUAUUAUAAAACUCAUGCUUGCCAGAACAGGACAGGAUGAGACAGGUGGUGUGCUACCAGAGUAUCCCACAGAUUGAGAACCAAGUUUCAGAGUUUUCAGAAGUGACCCAAUUCUGUUAAUGUGCAGCUGGAGGAGUUGGUGGUGGCGGCAGUGUUCUCCAGGGGCGAAAAGGAGUGAGGCCUCUGUAAGGAAAAGGUGGAAGAGACAAGAUCAGAAAAAGGAAAGGAGGUUUUGUCACAGAAGAUACCCUGAUUGUCUCAGUCUACUUAUAUAAUGGGAACAAAUGAUAUAUAAGCUAAAGCGGCAUAUCUAAGAAAAGAUUCCACCAGGAAAUCAAAGAUGAUUGUUUACCAUUCUUCUUUAGCAUGUACCUUUGUGGUAUUGCAAUAACAAGAUAGACACUGCACUUGGUUCAUCAGCAGCCAAAAACGAAGAUCUUCUUAAGAUGGUUCAAAGGCCACCUUGCAUGAUACCCACUGGGCUUCACUUCAAGGAGAAGAGUCUUUAAUCAAGCAGAUUCAUUGAUCCAGAACAGAAUCUAAAGAGACUGUCCAUUUACAAGGGAAAUUUUGUAAUUGUACUUUUAUAAAAUUACAGAGAAUGGGGAAAGUUCCACCAAGGAACAUGAAAACAUUCUGAAAUUCCAGUAUUAAGUUUGAGAUCUAUUGUCAAACUGUUUCUUGGACUGCU